This 288-nucleotide long non-coding RNA is filed under the name Homo sapiens (human). RNAcentral describes it as "HSALNT0134009". Lineage: Eukaryota; Metazoa; Chordata; Mammalia; Primates; Hominidae. The record is from RNAcentral.
GCUUUGUUUACAUGGUUUUUAAAGGGGCCGCGCUCGCUCCGGCAGGCGGGCGCUGGAGUGGGAGUUGGCGCUGCCUUCUGCUCGUUUGCGUGGUGAGGGCUCCUGGAUGGGGGCCGAGGUCUGUCGCCGCCCCGGGACCCCUGCACCCAGUGGCUUCCUCUCUUCCCAACCGUCUUCCCCCUUGACUCGCCCCUGGACGUCUCCCACCCCCACCCCCACCCCACCCUGCAGCUACGGGGACCCCCCACACCCCACCUAGGCUGCCUGCGAGAUUCCUUACUUUCCAAU